AUGAGGAAGAAGAAGACGGCGGCGCCGGCGCCGGCGCCUGCACCCACGGCUACCAAGACGACAGCGGCGGCAGCGGUGCCCGCGGCUGCUAAGAAGAAGCCCCUGGCGGCCAAGAAGACAGCGGCAGCCGCCGUACCCGUGGCCAAGAAGAAGGCGGCGGCGGCGGCCAAGAAGCGCGCAUCCGGUGGAACGGCCGGGUGCAGGCCACGGAAACGGGCACGGGAUGACAACUGCGACGGCGAUCUCAUCAGCAACCUUCCGGACGCCGUCCUCUGCACCAUCAUCUCCCUCCUCCCCACCAAGGACGGCGCUCGCACGCAGGCCAUCGCCCGCCGAUGGCGCCCCCUCUGGCGCUCCGCGCCUCUCAACAUCGACGCCCAGAAUCUCAGGACCGGCCGCAGUUUGCCCCUUCGCUGUAAAAAGAAGAACCUCAGCACCAAUAAUUUUCAGCCGUCGUGCCGCCGCCGAGGGCCUCGACCGCCGCAGGACUCCAUCGUCUCCAGGAUCCUCUCCGACCACCCUGGCCCCGUUCGCUGCUUCGACUUCCGCUUAACCUGCAUCUGCCCGAAAAAAGAAGGGCACGCCCAGAAACUUGCUCAGAUUGAGAGCUGGUUCCACUCUCGAAGCCUGCACAACCUUCAGGAGCUCCAUAUCUUCUUCCCGAUCUUGUGUCGAGCAGCUCGAUGCUCCUUGCCAUCAUCCGUGCUCCGUUUCGCAUCGACUGUUGUUGUGGCUACAAUCGGCCACUGCGAUGUCCCAAAAGAGAUCGCUCCUUUACUGAAUUUCCCCCUCCUCAAGCAUCUCACCCUACGGAGCGUUUCCAUCUCAGAGGAUGUCUUCCAUGGGGCGAUCUCCUCCUGCCAUGUGUUGGAGACCCUAUAUCUGCAGGGAAAUGUUUAUACUGGUCCCCUCCGCAUUAGCUCGCGAACUCUUAGGAGCAUCGCCUUCAGUCAUUGUCAUGUUGGCAAAGAAGAAUUGGUUAUUGAGGACACCCCUCGCCUUGAAAGACUGCUUUGUCCAUGCUCAGAUGGUUUGAAUAUCCGGGUAAAUAAGGCACCUAAACUGGAGAUAUUGGGCCCUUUGUCACCCCGCACCUCCAAUAUUCAGAUUGCAAAGCUAAUCUUUCAGGGGUUGGUUUCAACCAGCUUGAACAAUUCGAUAUGCACAGUGAAGGUUUUGGCUCUCCAGUUUGCUUGCACUGAUUUGAAUGCAGUUCUUGACGUCCUCAGGUUUUUCCCCUGCUUGGAAAUACUUUAUGUUAUGUGGAACAAAUACUUGAACGCAGAGAUGAACAAUGUGCGUCAUUGUGAUCCAAUAACUCCAAUCAAAUGCCUUGAGACCCAUCUAAAAAAACUAGUGUUGAAGAAUUACACAGGCGAUGAGCAAGAUGUUAGCUUUGCCAAGUUCUUUGUUCUGAAUGCGAAAGUGCUAAACGAGAUCAAAUUUGGCGUUAGCGAGAAGUUCGACGAGAAAUGGGUGGCUGAUCAGCACAGGUUGCUAGGAGUGGAAAGUGAAGCUUCUCCAGAGUUCGAGUUUAAGCAUUGUUCGUACUAUUUGAAUAACUAUUUGGAUACCCAUGACUUGUCAAUUGCCGAUCCCUUCAACAACUCUUUUCUGGCCAAAGACCAUACUCUUCCAGUGAUAUCAAUAUCAUGUCCUUCCAGUUCUGACGAGGUGUUAUGGCCGGUUUAG
Molecule: ribosomal RNA, 1692 nt
Filed under: Triticum aestivum (bread wheat)
Lineage: Eukaryota; Viridiplantae; Streptophyta; Magnoliopsida; Poales; Poaceae
Description: partial small subunit ribosomal RNA
Source: RNAcentral